Molecule: ribosomal RNA, 366 nt
Filed under: Triticum aestivum (bread wheat)
Lineage: Eukaryota; Viridiplantae; Streptophyta; Magnoliopsida; Poales; Poaceae
Description: partial small subunit ribosomal RNA
Source: RNAcentral
AUGGACCAUUCCAUCCCUUAUUCCCGUGGCUAUGCAUCGGAUACGGAUGACGAAGGUCUCAAUGAACAAGUUGAUGAGGAGGGGUUCACGGUGAAGGAGGCCGAAGGUUUCGAGAAGGUAUUCGGUCGGGAUCAUCGGACUACAUUGUUCAAGGAUGUUAGUCUCGCGGAUGAAGCCAUGGUAGAUGGUGGCCAAGGUAUAUCUCUUGGGAUUAGGACAAGCUCUCACCGUGAUUUGGAUGAUGGCAAGAACGGGGUUGCUAAAGGGUUUAAGUUCCAAACCAUGUUGGAAUUGAAGAUGUGGCUCGAAAACUACUCGGUCACGCAUUAUCGUCUGGUAGUCCACUCGGACGUCAAUGUGCGCUAG